This 21-nucleotide non-coding RNA is filed under the name Arabidopsis thaliana (thale cress). The record is from RNAcentral. Lineage: Eukaryota; Viridiplantae; Streptophyta; Magnoliopsida; Brassicales; Brassicaceae.
AGAGCACCGCACGUCGCGUGG